RNAcentral lists this long non-coding RNA (1029 nucleotides) under Homo sapiens (human). RNAcentral describes it as "non-protein coding lnc-IDI2-1:1". Lineage: Eukaryota; Metazoa; Chordata; Mammalia; Primates; Hominidae. The record is from RNAcentral.
GCGCGCCGCAGACUGUGCUCAAAGCGGGCGCCAUCCGGGACCGGCGGUUGUCUGUGGCCGGAGGCUGAUCAGUGUUCUAGAACAGAUCAGACAUUUUGUAAUGAUGCCUGAAAUAAACACUAACCACCUCGACAAGCAACAGGUUCAACUCCUGGCAGAGAUGUGUAUCCUUAUUGAUGAAAAUGACAAUAAAAUUGGAGCUGAGACCAAGAAGAAUUGUCACCUGAACGAGAACAUUGAGAAAGGUGCUGCUUUGAAACAGUCUUUCUUGUAAAGCGAUUUGUGUAGGCAUUUCCGAUUUGCUGAGAAGAGCACUCUGUUCAAGGAAGUGCAGUCUUCAGUAAUACCGUAUUUUCUCGUUGGUUCCAGUUCGUUAAAUAGUGUGGUCAUUAGCAUCUGCUUUGCUGUCUUCCUGUUACAGCGAUUUCUCUUCACUUCAUGCCUGUUACUCGGCUUCUUCAGAGUUAUUCUGGAUUCAUAGAAGAGGGACUAGCCCUGACAUACAGCAGCAGCCUAGCCUCUAAUAUUUCUAGAGAGUGGAGAGAGGCGGGCACCAUGCAGGGAAGCAUGUGCCUUCACCACUUUCCGAGAACUGAAUGUCCUUGAUAGGGAACUUGACUGCCGGAAAGGGGCCACCAGCAUCACCAUUUCCUUCACUCGACGGCCAACUUCCUUGCCCAGUGCAGAGCUCUUCCUCACCAUAGCCAUGCAGAGACUAUGCAUGUGGAUAAACCAUGGGAAAAAGCAAAAGCAGCAGCAAGUUACUAAUGUUAUUCUGAACUGCAGGGAGAGAAUUUGGCAAAUAACUGGUACUUAAGGCUAAAAUAAUUGUUAUUUCUUUUGCUUUCAGGAUUAUUGCAUCGAGCUUUUAGUGUCUUCUUAUUCAACACCGAAAAUAAGCUUCUGCUACAGCAAAGAUCAGAUGCUAAGAUUACCUUUCCAGGUUGUUUUACGAAUACGUGUUGUAGUCAUCCAUUAAGCAAUCCAGCCGAGCUUGAGGAAAGUGACGCCCUUGGAGUGAGGCGAGCA